GCCCGGAUGGUCUAGAGGUAUGAUUCUCGCUUUGGGCUACCCAAUCCUGAAUGCGAGAGGCCCUGGGUUCGAAUCCCAGUUCGGGCC
This is a non-coding RNA of Aspergillus egyptiacus, 87 nucleotides long. NCBI's taxonomy places the organism in Eukaryota, Fungi, Ascomycota, Eurotiomycetes, Eurotiales, Aspergillaceae. The record is from the annotation of a GenBank genome assembly.